UGUGGACAAAAUGGGUUCUUCUAGACUCAUUAUUUUAUUGUGUUUGUAUCAUUCAUGGAGAGAAGGUAAAUUAACUUUAGUGUACAGAUAUUAAAAAUGUGUUUCUCUUGUUAACCUUGUGUUUUCUUCUAGUGCUCUGUAUUCUGACUGAACGUGCCUACCAUGUGUCUGAUUGGAGUGAUGCUGGGCAACUACUGCAAAAACACAAAGGACGGACUGAACAUGACUAUUUUCACUUCCCUGAGAAACCUAGUUCAAGUGCUCAUGUGAAGUCAAGUUCUUCCGUUUUCCUUCCAAAAUCUACUAUAAAGGAAGACAGCUUUUUUUCUCCAACCCGUAAAAAAAAAUAAAAAAAAAUAAAACAAAUCUUGCUCUCUUCCCUCUGAAAAGA
Molecule: long non-coding RNA, 391 nt
Organism: Cyprinus carpio (common carp)
Lineage: Eukaryota; Metazoa; Chordata; Actinopteri; Cypriniformes; Cyprinidae
Source: Ensembl